UACGGAGGGAGCUAGCGUUGUUCGGAAUUACUGGGCGUAAAGCGCGCGUAGGCGGCUCAUCAAGUCAGGGGUGAAAGCCCGGGGCUCAACCCUGGAACUGCCUUUGAAACUAGUGAGCUAGAAUCUUGGAGGGGCGAGUGGAAUUCCGAGUGUAGAGGUGAAAUUCGUAGAUAUUCGGAAGAACACCAGUGGCGAAGGCGACUCGCUGGACAAGUAUUGACGCUGAGGUGCGAAAGCGUGGGGAGCAAACAGG
This 253-nucleotide ribosomal RNA is filed under the name uncultured bacterium. RNAcentral describes it as "partial 16S ribosomal RNA". It matches the Rfam family "Bacterial small subunit ribosomal RNA", at positions 524 to 776 of the family's 1533-position model. The record is from RNAcentral.